UUUUAAAAGUUGUAUUGAAGUAUAGUUGAUUUACAAUGUUGUGAUAAUUUCUGCUGUUCGACAAAGUGAUUCAGUUACACAUGUACACACAUACAUUCUUUUUCAGAUUAUUUUCCCAUGUAGAUUAUCACAGAACAUUGGGUAGAGUUCCCUGUGCUAUAUAGCAGGUCCUUGUUCACCAGUCAUUCCAUAUACUGCAGUUUGCACAGGCCAGCCCCAAAUCCCCAAUCCAUCCCUCAUCUCCACCUGUUCCCUUUGGUAACCAUAAGUUUGUUUUCAAAGUCUGUGAGUCUAUUUCUGUUCUGAAAAAUUUGCAUACCUUUUCAUAUUCCACAUAUAAGUGAUAACAUAUGAUGUCCAUCUUUCACUUCUGACUUACUUUACUUAGUAUGAUAAUCUCUAGGUCUACCCAUAUUGCUGCAAAUGGCAUGAUUUCAUUUUUUUAUGGCUGAGGAAUAUUCCCUUGUAUACAUGUGCCACAUCUUCUUUCAUCUUCCAUUGGUCUUUUUUUCAUAUAGCAGCCAGAGUGAUUCUUUUAAAAUAUAGGAUCUCUCCCCAAAACCUUUCCAUGGAUUUUCAUAAAAUUCAGAAUAAAAGCCACAGUCCAUACCAUGGUCCACUUGACUCUGCAGGAUCUUGCCAUUGGCAGCCUUCAGAUCCCAGCACUAGCUGCUCACCUCCUCCUGGCUGUGUUCCAGCCAUGCUGCUGCUAUAAUUGCCCAAGCACAUCCUCACCCUAGAGUCUGCAUGCUGUUCCUCUGCCCAUCCUCCUCUUUCCAACAACUGCAGUGGGUGAUCUCUCACUUCAUCUCUGUCUGAUCCGAGGUCUUCCCUGAAAAGCCUGUCUGACACUGGCCCACCAUGCAUCAUUCACCUUGAUUGGCUAUAUUCUCCACUGAGCAUAAAUUAAAUGAGGGCAAUUUCUUUGCUUUUGAUCCUUAUUUCAUGUCCAAUGUCCAGAGAGGAUUUGGCACAUGGUAGGCUAUCAAUAAAUAUUGUUGAAUGAAUGAAUGAAUGAAUGAAUGUCUUUAUUACCACUAUUCUGGUUUAAGCCACUGUGGCCUCUCGCCUAACAAUUCAAUAAUCUCCUAGUGGGUCUUCCAGCUUCCAUGUUUGCCUCUUCCAGUCUGACCUCCAUAGAGAAGACAGCAUUCUGUUUUAUAUAUGUUAAUCAGGUCAAGUUAUUCUCCUGCAUGAAACUUCCCAGUGGUAAUUUGUCAAACAAUGCAAUCCAAAUAUAGCAUAAUACAUAUACUAAAUUAUACACUACAUCCAAACUCUUUCUAUAUAGUAUAGGGAGGUGGAUUUGAGCUCUCUCCUGCCUAUCUCUCAGCAGCUGACUCCACACAUCCACCUUCACCAGUACACUUCAGCCAUAGCGACCCGCAAGCACCUCUAGCCCACUUCCAUCUUAGGGGCUUUUUUUAUACUGUUAGGUCCUUUUUUGGGGGAAUACUUACACCCCAAUCUUCACAAGGCUGGCUUGUUUUUGGUCCUUGGAACUUCAGCUUAAAUAUCACCUUAGCAGAAGGGACUUCCCUGUCUUCCUAGUACAAUUAGACACCAGUCAUCACUGUCUCCGUAGCUCUAAUCUUGACCUAAUAUUUUUCUUAUUCAUUGGUGAUGGUCUGCCUCGCUCCCUCCCAUCUCACCUAGAAUAUAAGCUCCCAGACAUGAGGGAUUGUGCUGUCCUUGUUCUGCAUGGUGUCCCUAACAUCUAGGACGGUAGUUGGCACAUACUAGGUGCUUAAUAUUUAUUUCUUGCAUCCAAUAGUUAAUAUUUUAUACUAUCUGAUACCAAACACCAUUUCUAGUGAGAGGAAGAUAUCCUGGUAAAGUUGCAUAUAGUUUGUUUUGUCCUUCCAAAUGAGUACAAUUUUCAAUUGGGACAAAUUUUCUAAUUAACCUAAAACGAUGUUCCCUCACAAGUCACACAUCCACCACAUCUGCUGAGUCUUCUGAGUAGGGCCUUUCUAGUGACUUGGGUUAUACAGAUUUUCUUUUCCUCUACUAAGUGGCUAUUAUCCACACAAUGAUCAAAAGACCUUACAGAUGGACAGUAACUUAGGGUUUAUAGAAUCAGUUAUAAAAGCGAGCCUUUGAUCUGCCCCCAAACCCUGCAUUCAUUAGCGUUGUGUGUUAAGAUGGAGAGCAAGUGCAAAGAGGUAAAUGACUUUCCCAAGAACACAGGGCAAGGAAAUGGUGGCAUGAGAGCUCAGUUCAGGUUCCCCCUUUCUCUCCAAAUGUCUUGUUCUUUCCAUAGCACAUGAUCACCCUUUAAGAGACUACUUGGAAACAUGGAACAUUAAAAAUGCAUCUUUCUCCUCUUUAGGUUUUCUCUCUCCUUACUUGCCAAAUCUUUACGAACGCUAUGGAAUUCAGACAGAGCCCUGGUGCCAGAAAUCCCAACAAAGUUUGCAGACCUGAAAUGAACAUCUUUCUUCUCUCGUUCCAUCAUUUGUUCUGGUACUAAGAUAUGAGAAUUAUAAUAAUUUAUAUUUUAAUUACUCAGCCAUAAAAAAGGAUGAAAUUCUGCCAUUCGCAGCAAUGUGGAUAGACCUAGAGAACAUGAUGCUUAGUGAAGUAAGUCAGACAGAGAAAGACAAAUACUGUAUGAUAUCACUUACAUGUGGAAUUUUUUUAAAAAAAGCACAAAUGAAUAUAUAUGCAAAACAGAAACAGACUCAUAUAGAAAACAAACUUAUGGUUACCAAGGAGGAAAGAGAGGACUGACAAAUUAAGGGGAUAGCUACAAUGUGUAAAAUAGAUAAGCAACAAGGAUACUAUUCAAUAGAAAAAUAAUUUAUAUUUUAGUCACUCAGAUUUGAAGACUCUUGACACAUGACCAAAAAGGGCAUCAAGCAUGACUUGUAACUGACAUUUUAUGCAUUUAUUUAAAGGAAGGAUUUAUUGCAAAACACUGGAAAUUUGCAAACUUUUGGGAAAGAAUAUGACAGGAGAUGAGUAUAUGUGUGGGAGAAAGACGAAAAAUAGGUUCUUGAACCUGUAAUUUUAACUCCCACUCUGUUUCUUUCAAAUGUCUACACGGAGGAUAGUGUUUAUAAUAACUCAUCCCUUUAAGGCCAACACAUCCUGCCUGUGGGGCUAUUACUUCUGUCUAAAAAAUAAUUAAUGUAAGGUUUGUUGAUAUUUUUCAGUGUGCUAUGAAAGUGACACAUCCAGGGACGAGGGAACUAGCACUUUUUCAAAAAAAAAUAAAUGAUAUAUCUGUAAAUGAAGGAUAAUUUUAAUGUUUAUAAUAAAUGAGAGUACAUUGUUUACAGUUCAUAGGUAACUAAAAUCUACCAUUUAUGGAGAGAAUUUUUAUGGUUGUUAUAUAAAAACAGAUCUAAUCCUGGAUAAUAGCUCAUCAAUAUAAUUUUUUGUGUGUUGUGUAUUUACUACAAGCAUUACUAAAAUAAGUCAGUGCUAUCCAGUUUAGCUUUAUAUCUGGGGAAGAUGAGAUUAAGUGUUUAAAUCAGACUCAAUGACAAUGAUAGGCUAAUUUAGCAGAAAAUGUAACUCAAAUGGAUGAGUGUAAUAUACUUACUUAAGUAAUUCUUGAGACACAGCAGUAAAUGUAAUCUGUUCAAACAGCAACAAACAAUGUGUAGGAUUACUUACUCAUUUAAUCACAAAACAUCCAUGACAUCCUCCUCCUAUUUGGGCAAUAGGUUAUGUUUGUUCUAGUAUCUAGGAAAAUUUGCCCAGCUUCAGAUACUAAUCUCAACUGGCUUCCUGGUAGAUUCUGACAGUAUCACAUUUUUGGCCAAACUACACUGUCUCUUUUUUCUGAUGUUUUCAAAAUCCUUCAGAGUCAAACAGUGACCACUAAACAUCCUAUGGUUACCCAGCUCGUCAGGGGUGAAACUGUGUUUCAAAUGCAGGUCCAGCCCUGUGCUUUUCCUUUCCAUGUCCCUACACUUUCUCACUGAACUAAAACUGCGUACUGAUACUUUUAUAUCUGUUAAUGUUACCCAGAAAGCAUUUUUUUUCCCUGAUGGCGUUAUCCUAUUCUUUAUUUCCCUGCAAUAUUAAAUGAGUUUUAUGAGUUUUUCACAUACAGAAUGACAGCAGAUAUGUUUGAUUGACUGAGGCCUUCUAAUGGGGUUCUUUCUCUCUCUCUCUUUUUUUAAGGGCCACACUUGUGGCAUAUGGAAGUUCUCAGGCUAGGGGUCAAAUUGGAGCAGUAACUGCUGGCCUACACCACAGCCACAGCAAUGUCAGAUCUGAGCAGCAUCUGUAACCUACACCACAGUUCAUGGCAACACCAGAUCCUUAACCCACUGAGCAAGGCCAGGGAUCGAACCUACAUCCUCAUGGAUACUAGCCAGAUUCGUUACUGCUGAGCCACAAUGAGAACUCCCUAGUGGGCUUCUUUCUGGCUGACCGUGAAUACCUCCUUCAAGUGAGCUGGGAAGAAGGAAGAUGCUUCCCCAUCACACCUCUGAUUUGGCUCUGGUGCUUGGGGGCAGGUGAGGAUUCUCAGCCUGAGAUGGGGAGACUGGCUCUGGACACUCCAGAUACCAUCUAGGAAUUUUGAUGACUUCUGCUUAUCAAAAUUUUGCUCCCUAUUAAUGGAGAUUAGAAUAUCCUAAAUGUAACUCCACCGUAUAUGUGGGAAGAGCUAACUAUAAUACUUUAGAUUAUUGCAUCCCAUCCCUAAUGCUUAUUCAAUGAUGUAAAUACUGAGAAAGAAAAUGUGCACACUGCAGUAUUGCAAAGAUGUCUUUUAGAACCAGAGGUCAAAUUAGCCACAUAAGGAAAUGGAGUGACAUUCGGAGAAUAUGCAUAUUAUUUAAUAAUCCUGGAAGUAUUGUGGGAAAUUAGGCCUUUAUAACCCUUUCUGUUUAUAUUUGUGAUGAUUAAAUAUUAUUUAUAUGGAUGUAUUUUGGGAAGUUAUUAAGAACCAUGUACAUAUGUUAAUUAUUAUUUAUAAUGGAGCUUAGAAAAACAGUAUUAGAAAGCUUAAGAGGGAGGGAGAAAAUGAAAGAAUGAGCUGUAAAAUAUUUUCAAAGACUGUCAAUUAGUCAUUGACUUAGUCAUAAUUUUUAUCUACUGAAACGUACAUGGAAAAUGCCCUUAUAAUUUUACUGCCUUUCAUAGCCUUUAAAAAUAUAUAAGUUCUUCUUAUCUCAGAAUCUGUAGAAUGAUAGCAGUCAAAGCUAGUUAUUUAUUAAAGUUCCUUUCUCAUAGGCGCUAUAAUUCCAAGAGGAAAGAGACCAAUUUCUGGCUCUUUAUUUAUUAUUAUUAUUAUUUUUUAGGGCCACACUUGCAGCAUAUGGAAGUUCCCAGGCUAGGGAUAGAAUCAGAGCUGGAGCUGCCGGCCUAUACCACAGCCACAGCAAUGCCAGACCCAAGCACAUAUGCAGCUACACCACAGCUCACAGCAGUGCUGGAUCCUUAACCCACUGAGCAGGAACAGGGAUCAAACCCGCAUCCUCUUGGAUCCUAGUUGGGUUCGUUUCUGCUGAGCCACAAUGGGAACUCUGACCAUUCCUGGCUCUUAAUAUUUUUUGAAAAUUUUACCUUCUGUGAAAGUGAAGAAAGGAAAACUGUUCAUAGGCCAACCUAACAAUCUCAAACUCAGGCAUAGCUUAUAUGCUUUAAUUCUUAUAGUUCCUCAGAAUUGAUAAAUGCAUCCAAAAAUGAUCGUCAUAAAAUAGGGCCAGUAUCAUCAUAAAACAGGGUGAGUAUCAUCACAGAUAAAUAUAUGGAACAAAUAAUACAUUAAGAUAUGGCCAUGACCAUGAAUUCUAAUGAGGAAUUAGAAACUAGUUACAGAAACUAAAAGCAAAAGUCCAGAAUGUGAAACAAGGUAGAUGUGUUCUUUUUCUUCCUUUUUUUUUUCCUGUUAAGCGUUCCUUGUGAAAAUUUCCUAUGAGGUACAGUCACUGCUGUACUUUUUUCCCUUCAGAGAAACAGAUCAGAUAAGCAGAUGCCUUUAGGGUUUGGUUCAUCAAUUUUGACAAUAGAUGGAGUCUUCUGUUAUGAUGAAGAGUGAUGUGUUAAUGGGCAGAAGGAUUCGACCAAUAACUGGUGAAAAAAUAAUA
Molecule: long non-coding RNA, 6053 nt
Filed under: Sus scrofa (pig)
Lineage: Eukaryota; Metazoa; Chordata; Mammalia; Artiodactyla; Suidae
Description: lncRNA (ENSSSCG00025051275.1)
Source: RNAcentral